RNAcentral lists this ribosomal RNA (168 nucleotides) under Triticum aestivum (bread wheat). Its description in RNAcentral is "partial small subunit ribosomal RNA". Lineage: Eukaryota; Viridiplantae; Streptophyta; Magnoliopsida; Poales; Poaceae. The record is from RNAcentral.
AAAGCCCACUCCCCUAGGCUAGUCUUCCUUUCUGAAACAAGGCAAUCAUGUGCAAAAAUUGAGCGGCUAAAGUGGAAGAUUGGCCUGAAAGGAUUUUGUGGUGUAGACGCUGAAGGUCUUGGAGGUGGUUUAGCUCUGUUUUGGGAUGAAUCCCUCCGAGUGUCGGUU